GGCCUUGUACACACCGAUCGCGGUUAGUGGAGACACUUUCCUUCAGUUCGGCUGGAUCGGAGACAGGUGCUGCAUGGCUGUCGUCAGCUCGUGUCGUUAGAUGUUGGGUUAAGUCCCGCAACGAGCGCGACCCUCGCCCUUGGUUGCCCUUAUUCAGUUAGGCACUCUAAGGGGACCGCCGGUGAUAAGCCGAGAGGAAGGUGGGGAUGACGUCAAGUCCUCAUGGCCCUUACGGGCUGGGCUACACACGUGCUACAAUGGUGGUGACAGUGGGCAGCGAGACCGCGAGGUCGAGCUGAUCUCCAAAAGCCAUCUCAGUUCGGAUUGCACUCUGCAACUCGAGUGCAUGAAGUUGGAAUCGCUAGUAAUCGCGGAUCAGAAAUCCGUGCGCUCUACAGAAAUCCGUGCGCUCUACCCUUGCUGCUGCUAAUUAAUUCAAUAUAUUCAUUCUGUGGGGAUCCCGUGGGGAACGCGAAGAACCUUACAAUACGGCUCACAAGAAGGGUCUUGUACACACCG
This 519-nucleotide ribosomal RNA is filed under the name uncultured bacterium. RNAcentral describes it as "bacterial SSU rRNA". The stretch from base 1 to 390 matches the Rfam family "Bacterial small subunit ribosomal RNA", at positions 976 to 1363 of the family's 1533-position model. The record is from RNAcentral.